Molecule: long non-coding RNA, 1179 nt
Organism: Camelus dromedarius (Arabian camel)
Lineage: Eukaryota; Metazoa; Chordata; Mammalia; Artiodactyla; Camelidae
Exons: 2
Source: RefSeq, a predicted model, not a curated record
ACUCCCGCCUCGCCUCCUGCUGCAGAAACAAACAGCCAGAGCUCUUGCCGGGCGGGACCGGAUGUCGACAGGCAGUGAUGGCUCCGGAGACCCCUAAACAGCCCCAAUCACCCCGCCCGGCGUUGGAAAGCCACUACCGCGAAGCCAAGACAAGGCAAAGCAAAGAAAGGCCAUGGGUUGGUACUGGGUAUCUGCUGAAGGACUCUUCAGCAAUGUUGGCGGGUCUGCCAUCCAGCUUUAAACAAGAUGCCUCUGCAAGACAAUGAAGAAGGAAAAUUACUCCCUCCAUGACCUGGACUUCCAGAAAAGCUGGGCAACAAAUGAGGCACAAUCUCUGGUGACAAAAAUGAAUAAACAAAAAGGAGUUUUAGCAAAAUAAAGCCAGGAAGGAAGAGUAAAGGUAUCAAGGACAGUGGCUGACCAGAUUGACCCACCUGGGUCAUGGGUAUACGGCAUCGCAUCAAACUACCAUCAACCCUAGGAAGACUCCCACCACUGCUCCAUAAACAUCAAGUCCCAGCAGGACACUUCUUAUCCCCCAGCAUGAACGCACUCACCUUCACAUCCAUCAGUAGGGAAGUGUAUGAUGAACUACUAGCAUACUAUAAAACAUUUGCCUAUUAAUUUUACAUGUUUAAACAAUUUGAGAAAAUGCUUAUGAUAUGCUCUUUAAGUGAAAGAAGGAAGAUACACAAUUGUAUGUAUGAUCUAUAUUGUCUGAACUAUGUCAUAAGACAUACAGAGGAAAAGAUGGGCAAAAAGUUCCAGCUAUGCCACUAAAUUGUACACUUAAAAAUGGUUAAAAUGGUAAAGUUUACAUGACAUAUAAUGAGUUAUAAAGCUGACAGAAAUUGUUCUAAGUUGUCAAUAACAGAAAGCAUAUGAGGAUUAACCAACCUAGAGUAGUGACUAUGUGACUUUUCUAUAGAAAAAUUAUGACACUGCUGUCAUAGAAUGAAGCAGUCAAUAUGCUGCCCAAAAAUGUAGGGAAAAAAUUACUGAAGUAUUGAUUUUUGAAAUAUAUAAUGUUUCGUGAUUUCUUUUUUCAAUCCAAAUAUUCACUUUUUUUAUACAAUUGUUUUCAUAAUUAUAAAUCUUUUUAUUUAAAAAUGGUACUUAUAUAUUUUGUAGAAAGUAAAUUAUAUAUAUUACAUUAUAUAAACUUCAGACACCACAAAA